CCUACGGGUGGCAGCAGUGAGGAAUAUUGGUCAAUGGGCGUAAGCCUGAACCAGCCAAGUCGCGUGAGGGAUGAAGGUUCUAUGGAUCGUAAACCUCUUUUAUAAGGGAGUAAAGUGUGGGACGUGUCCUAUUUUGUAUGUACCUUAUGAAUAAGGAUCGGCUAACUCCGUGCCAGCAGCCGCGGUAAUACGGAGGAUCCGAGCGUUAUCCGGAUUUAUUGGGUUUAAAGGUUGGGUAGGCGGGCGUUUAAGUCAGCGGUGAAAGUCUGUGGCUCAACCAUAGAAUUGCCGUUGAAACUGGGGGGCUUGAGUAUGUUUGAGGCAGGCGGAAUGCGUGGUGUAGCGGUGAAAUGCUUAGAUAUCACGCAGAACCCCGAUUGCGAAGGCAGCCUGCCAAGCCAUGACUGACGCUGAUGCACGAAAGCGUGGGGAUCAAACAGGAUUAGAUACCCCAGUAGUC
RNAcentral lists this ribosomal RNA (460 nucleotides) under uncultured bacterium. Its description in RNAcentral is "partial 16S ribosomal RNA". It matches the Rfam family "Bacterial small subunit ribosomal RNA", at positions 338 to 795 of the family's 1533-position model. The record is from RNAcentral.